Molecule: long non-coding RNA, 1158 nt
Organism: Macaca mulatta (Rhesus monkey)
Lineage: Eukaryota; Metazoa; Chordata; Mammalia; Primates; Cercopithecidae
Source: RefSeq, a predicted model, not a curated record
UACAGAUGGAACCAGUGAUACUAGUUCUUGAUGCAUAUACAUUUGUGAUGCAAUUUUACCCUUGAGGAAUAUCCAGGGAAGCAAAGCACUACGGGGAUCAUCAUUCUCAUCCUAGAGGCUCUCUUCUACAUCUGCCUCUUCCGGGACCACAGCUCCCAAGAGGAAAGAUAGAGGUGGCAGUGGCAGCUGACAAUUUACCUUAUUCUUUGGAAUCUCAGGGUUUCUCCUGCUCAACAGCUGCUUUGCCUCAGGCGUAAAUCAGAAGAGGAAAACCAGCUUCUGGACCCGGAGGGAGGAUGAAAGGGAAUAGGAAUUGAGGGAAGUGGAAGGGAAGACUAAGGGACCCCUGGAGAGUCCCUACUAAGCCAGACAUAACAAACAAAAGUCCUCUGCUACUGGGGAAGACAGAACAGAGAAGCCAGCAGGGGAAGAAAAAGAUGAUGCUGUUCUUGAUGCCUCAAAAACUGCAAGGGAGAACCCAGGCAACUGAUAUACACACCCUUGGAACAAAUCUACCCCAGAAGUACAAGACACACACUUCAAAUUCAUGGAAUAAAUGGGAGCUCCUGGCCACAGUGGGAGCCAUGAUCUCUCUCCUUUAUACGUGGCUGUAUUCCCAGAGCUUUCAUUUCCAUGUGGCACAUUUUUAUGCUCAUUUUGGGUAAAGAUAUCUGAAAGGAGCUGGUGUAGUGAAGGAUGAAGAGAAGGCAAUGCAAUGGUUUAGGGAUGUAGAAAUGCUUCUUAAUGUUGCUGCAAAACGGGGAUCCAAGAAGACGAAGAACUUCUGGAGAAUGUUAUUUGGACUAAAAGCAAGCUCUUGCCAACUGCAAGAACCAGGAGUUUUUAUAAACCAUAAUGUGUGUCCUGCAUCCUCUUCCUGGAACAUAGGAUGUUCUGCUCUCACUUGUCCACUGUGGCCCUGCAAUGCUUUGUGGCACUUUCAACGGAAGCUCCUUUUACUUAUAGUCUCGUAUGCUACUGUAGCAUUAAUUUGCUGCUGCAGCAUUAAUUUGCUGGUUAAAAUCCUUUCAAUGAAGUGUUACUUAUAUGUUUUCUUGGAUUUGAGUUUGACCUCUUCUGGAUAGAGGAGUACUUUAUUUGGUUUUCAUUACUGCUCACUUCAGCUAAAGUUGCAUUCAAGCCAGUGAGCAUUCUAUA